RNAcentral lists this transfer RNA (76 nucleotides) under Mariprofundaceae bacterium. Its description in RNAcentral is "tRNA-Lys". It matches the Rfam family "tRNA". From Rfam's summary of the family: Transfer RNA (tRNA) molecules are approximately 80 nucleotides in length. Their secondary structure includes four short double-helical elements and three loops (D, anti-codon, and T loops). Lineage: Bacteria; Pseudomonadati; Pseudomonadota; Candidatius Mariprofundia; Mariprofundales; Mariprofundaceae. The record is from RNAcentral.
GGGGUGUUAGCUCAGUCGGUAGAGCAGCUGACUCUUAAUCAGCGGGCCCGGGGUUCGGAUCCCCGACAUCCCACCA